UUAAAAUAAAUUAUAAACAAUUUAUAAAUAUAUUUAUAUACGUAGGUGCAAAAAAUGUAUGUUUUGUUUGUUCUAUGAAACUCUGUUAUUUUACUAUAUAAUUUGUAAGAAUUUAUUUUUAUUUUGUUUACAAAUACGACAAUUGUUGAUAAUUUUUUAAUAUCUUAAUACAACAAUGAAAUAUACUGUGUGUAAUACUUUAUUUCGAAAAUACAUAUUUCUAUAAUUAAACAAAUAUUUGAAUUUAUUUACGUAGUUCAUCAUCACACUUCAGUUGUCAAAAGUGACAUUAUAAUUCUCGUGUUAUGGAAUACAAACAAUAUCAGUACAUACACGUUUAUCAUAAUUUGUAACGAGUUGAAGUUUUCAGUUGUGUAUUAAAUAUUGUUAUGGAUUAUAAUACCUCAAACCUGUAAUAUUAAUCAAAAAUGGCAGUUUGUGUAGCUGUAAUUGGAAAAGAUAAUUCCCCAAAAUAUAUUAGGUGUGCAGAUGAAUCGUCAGCGUUGCAAUUUCAUUGUAAAGUUCAUACUUCAAUAGAUAUUAUAGAAGAGAAAUUAAAUGUUGGAAAUAAAACAGCUAUAGAUACAAGAGAGUUAUAUUUAGGUUUACUGUAUGCUACUGAAGAAUAUAAAAUAUAUGGUUAUGCUACAAAUACAAAAAUCAAGUUUGUCAUAGUAUUACAAUCAUCAAACGCAUUACCAAGAGAGAGUGAUGUAAAAAUGACCUUCAAAAAAUUACAUGCAGCUUAUUCUAAUGCUGUGUGUAAUCCAUUCUACAUUCCAGGUGAUCAAGUUAAUUCCAGGUCUUUUGAUGUAUCAGUAAUGGAAAUAAUGGGUAUUUUGUAGAUUUUAAUAAAAUAUAUUAUUUAAGAUUAAAAUAUCAUACAUAUAAUUCAAAUCGGUGAAACCUCUGUUAAAUUAUGUAUAAAUUAUUAUAGAGAUUGACUUUUGCUAUGUAGAGCAAGAUUAGUUGAAAAAUUGUAUCUAUAUAGAAUUUGUAAUAUUUUAAUUUUAUAAUUUAUACAUUUUUACAUUUACUGAAAAAAUCGUAAAUAAUCAUAAAUUGAAAUAACAUAUCAAAUAAAGAUAUAGAAUGUAGAAUAUUACAAACCUUCAAUGUCAACUUCUGCUUGUUUCUUCUUUCUUGGUAGACUUAUCAAAACAAGAUAAUAUCAUUGAGCAGUUUAAAUCAUCUACAAGGAACUAAUAUCAGAAACAAGUAAUUUUCUCAACAACUUGUAGCACAAGUGACAUCAUUUAAAGUCGAACAAUGAAAGAACAUCAAUAUCAGAUAUGUAAUUGAAAUCAUGGCAGAGAAUUGUAUUUAACAAUUAUUUAAAGAAAAGGAGAAAAAGUAAAAAGCUUUCAGAUAAUGAGUUAAAAAAAAAAUAAAUUCCAUCUUACACAACUCAAAAAUUCUGUUUUUAUAAAUAAGAUUUUAUACAUUUCGACAAAACAUUACAUUGUUUAGUUACAACGACAACAUAUUUAAAACAAAUUUUUAAAUCUAUCUUUUUCAUUAUCUCAAAACUUCGCAACACACAUUUUUAAAAAAUUUCAAAAGAACAAAAAAUAGGACGCUCAGUCCAAUUGAUUGUGCCCAUUGUAGUAUUAUUUCCUGUUUGCUUUUUUGUAAUGAUAUCCUUUAUUGUCUCUAUUUUACAAAAACAAAGAAGCAACACUGAUAUAUUGCUCAACCGACGACGACGUAACUGAUGAUAUAUAAUUUGUUAGGAAACGCGAUGAAGGUUCAUCUGCGCUGUGUUGCGUUUACAAAAUUAAUCAGCACAACCCGCAGAAUCGUAUUCUCUACAAUACAACUAGAAAAAUAGUUUUAUUUGAGACGAUGCAAAUCAUCCCUAAGUGUCUGACGUUUCUCGUCUCAACGGGAUGACAUUAAUCAGUGAAAUUAAAAUUCGAUGUGGGGUUCUCCAGUUCUUAAGAACAUGAAAAUACACUACCAACAGACUUUUCUUGUAAUAAUAAUAAUAAUAAUAAUAAUAUUUUUACCAUAUAAAUGAUAGAAACAUUCAAAUGCUAAUUAUAUGUACAGAGUAUGAUGUAGCAUUUAGGAUCUGUUUCAUGGAUGGAUUCAGCACUUAAAAAAUGAUUCAUAUAAACUUGUGUUUACUUUCCUCUUGUUUCAGAUUUAUAGCGAGCUUGGUAUCCCAGUAAUAAUAGUUUUGGAAUUAAAAUAUUUUGUUAAUGUAUUGAAGAUUACCAAGGAAUUCAAGGAUAAGAUGACGGACAAUAAGGCUUACAUGUUUGUAUCAAGAUACAAGGUGUAAAUAUUAAUACUACAUAUAUUUUACUUAAAAUUUUUAUCUUCUAUCAAAGUAAAUGAAUACAAACAGAACUCGCUGUAACUCAGAAACAAGAUUGAAUUGAACAUGUACAAGUAGAUGAAGGUAUUCACAGCUGAAAUACAUAUAAAUUACUACUGUACAAAGCACCAUGUAUACAUAUACUUAACGUAAGUUAACAUUUCAUUUUUAUUAUAAUCAGAGGUAGUGUCAGUUACAAAAGUAUUCGAACUCUGUUUCAAGAAUGUCAUUUCUUUUAAGCUAAUACAAAGUGUGUACUAUAAAAAUUGUUUUUUGUCCUACAUAGUUUACAUGUAAAUGCUGUUCGAAUACUUUCAUGCACCAAUGUAUACUUACAUGAACUCAUUUUCAUUGAAAUUGCUUUUAAGUGUUGAAUCUAUUUCUGAAAUGGGUCCCACAUAUUACAUUGCACUCUUCAUAUACAUGUACGUGUAUGUGUAUAUACAUACUAUAUACACAUAAUAUUUCAACAAAAUUACUGAUCUUGAUUUUUUACAACAGUCGACAAAAUUUUGCACAGUUAAUGCAAUGAAUACAAAUUCUUCGCGAUAACAACGUAACAACUUUUAUAAAUGGAGUAUUGACGGAGAAACUUGCAUUCAUUGCACAUUUGGUGCAACCAAAAAAAAAACAUGGGCAAUUAGAAAGAAAUAAAGGAGAAAAAAAUAGAAGAAAAAAAAGCGUGAAAGUAUGCGCGUACCAUAAAUGAAUUCGAGAAGCGCAUUUGGUGUUGAGAUCGAAUGGUGCAUACAAGACCAUAAAAAAAACUUAAUCCAUUGUUGAUUCAACGUUAUGAUCAAAGAAUUAAAGAAAAAAAAAUUAAAAGAACACAAAAUGCCAAUAUACAACAUGUAUAUACAGGGUGAAGCUAAACGUAUAAUUGGAUAGAAAAUGAUUCUUCACAUAAACAUUAAUUGAAAAUAUAGAAUAAAGCAAUUAAUGAAACUAUUAAUACCACUAAAAUCUAUUACUAUUAUUAUUAGUGGUGUACAAAAGUUUGUGUCAUCUAUGUAUAGCUAAGGAAGUGCAAUUAUCUUUCAAUGAUUUUAUUUACAGAUUUCCUUCACUGCAGUAUCCAUGUUCUAUUUAAAGGUGGAACAAAAUGAUAUUGUCAGAAACUGUUCUGAUUAAAAAUACUCUGUUAUUUCUAAAAUAUAAGUAAAGUAAAUUAUUCUAAAGAAAUGAAAACCUUAUAUACUACUAAUAAACUGUAUUUUUCACAUUUUUAAAGUAUUAAAAAUAUAAAUGUAAAGCUAACAAAUUUUUAAAUUGAAUUUCUAGAAAACAAAAACUGUUAUAUUAUUUUAAUUAAUUUUUAUAUAAGGAAUCAUUUCUUGCUUCACCUUGUACGUCCUAUGAUGUACGAAAGAAGCUAAAAAGAACAAGAACAUAAAAACGUUUAACAUUGACUGAAAGACGAGAGAAAAUAAUAAUAAUAAUUAUAAUAAUCAUUCAUAAUAACAACAAAUGACAACGUGCGUGUUACUUAUUAGCGUGAACGUAAUUCCCUGUCGCAUAUUUAUCUCCUUGCGUUCGUAUCACCAUUUGCACUUUUCCUAUUCUUUCUUUUUCUUUUUUUCCCACUAUUCUACACUGUGUCCCUUUAAAACACAACACACUCUUUCUUUCAUUGAAGACAGAACUCUUAUUCGUCACAUACAUACAUAUGUAUGUACAUGCACAAAAAAAAAAGAAAAAAGAAAUGGCAGAAUAUGUUUUACUGGCUAACAAUAAAGUGUUUUUCUUUUUUUCGUGAAUUAAGGGAGAAUGAAUUAUGGAUAUAAAGUAACUUGUCAUUGGUGUAAGAUCGAUCGGAUAAAGUACCUAUGCUGAUGAAACAUAAUACAAAGGAAUGUCGCACGAUUUAAUAAUGGUUUCUUCUUUCUUUCCUUUCUUUUUUUUUAUUAAGUAACCAACUAAGGGCAGUCGGAUAGAAAAACGUUAACUAAAUGAAUUUUAUAAUUACAAAAGAAAUAUUGAACGGCGACUAGAAUGGUCAGUGUACAGCAUACAUAAAUUUUUAGUUACAUAAGUAACAACUAAAGAAAUAAGGAAAAUUCUAGAUAACCCUGAUAAUUCAAAAUAGCAAAUUAAAAUAUUAGAUUGAAAAAUUAACCAUCAAUACAUUGAUUACUAUAGAGGUCAUUGAUGAUUGGCGUUAAGAAUUUAUUAGCUGUACAAAUUAAUUCAGUGUUUUUUUUUAAAUUGAAGCUUUGUUUUAAAAAAAUCACGAUAACUUUAAUUAUUCAAAUAACCGUCGUUGUUACAGUUCUGCGCUACUUAUUACUAAUAUGGUUAUUAAAAAGGCGUAGUGCUAAAGGCACUGAAUUAAUUUGUAUAUCUAAUAAUUUAAUCAAGUAAUUAACAAAUGAAAGAAGACAUUUUGGAAUAGUAUUAAAAUCCCAAUCAAGAAACCGAAGCAUUGAAUUAAAAAAUUAUAAUUAAGUGAUUAAUAUAUAGUAUUAAUAACAGACUUUAAAGAUUUUAAAUGGUAUUACUAUUAUCCUAUAACUUAAAUAGUAAAUUGUAAAGUUGAAUGAUGGUACACUGGUGAUGAAAUCAGGCUUUGCUAAGGAAAGUAUUUGUAAUAUCCCGGGCUCCUGCUCCUUUCCGUAGACACGCCCGGAGAAAAGGACAAUGUAACGAAGAGGUCUCAUAUACAGUACUUAUAUGUAUGCGUAGCGAUCCUCUACGUUUGCGCGGGAAAAUUUGAAUUAAUACUUGCUUUUUUUAUAUACUAUUCAGUAAUGUAUUAAUACAUAACAAUUAAAACUCAUAUUAUUCUAUUAAUAAAUCACUUUAAAUGUUUAUAUCGUGAAAAUUAAGAUUUUGAAAAUUCUUACUUCCGCUAUAUGUACUGCAAAUUUUCCCUCUGGAAGUCAGAUUUGACCACGAGUGUACCUUGCAUAAUUAUUACAGUCAACUUAUUAAAAGGUCCUAAUUUUUUUCAAAAUAUUUGUUCUGUGUUUGCGUGUGUGUGUACAUUUUAGCAUUUGUUCAAGAUGAUUCUAUUUUCAUCAUAAUUAUUUAAAAAAAAGAAAAAAACCUGACUACACGAAACAAAAAAAAAAUAAAGAAAUCUUUUUAGAUGAGCAUUGAACAAAUAGAGAAACAAAUAGCAAUAAAUGAAAAACAUUGAAAAUUUUGUUUCUUUCCCUCAUGAUUUCUUGUUAUCGUGAUAUUUUAUAUAUUAUCUCGGCGCAUCUGUUGCUGAAACCUACAGAUUUUCAUUUUUUGUUUCUUUACUCUUUUUAUUCGAUAUACAAUUAGUCUCUGCGGCUAUGCUAGCGGCUCGAUCGUUUUACAAAUUAAACGCAAAUUACCUUGGAUUCUUUUUUUCUCGCACUUUUCAUGUCGUUACUUUUUCUAUUUUUUUUUUUUUUAAUACUCAUCGACGUUUAUCGAGACGUUCGAUAAAAAUCUUCUCCUUUCGAAUUCUACGCACGUACGUCUACACGUAUGCGACUAAAGAAAGGAAAAAAGAAAGAAAAACAAAAAGAAAAAGAAUCACGAAAAAAUUAGAGCGACUUAUCAUAUCACAGUAUCGUACGCAAAGCUUAUAUGAAAUCGCAGAUAGAACAGUAUAAAGGCCAAAUGGCGACACUAUACGCUCUUUUUUUUCUUCUUCACGGUAUUAUAAUAAUUAUCUGAGGAGGACAAUAUCUUUUUUUUUUUUGUUUAUAUCUCACUUUUUAAGAAGAAGCAUUUGAAAACAGCAUUCUCCGCACACUUUCUUCUCCUUUCUCUCUCACACAUACUUUCUGAUUCUUUCUCAUUCUCUCCGCUACUCUUUCCUUUUUCUUGUCUUUUUACUUUUUUCGUUCACUUCUUCGUUUGUUACACACUCUAUGGCAAUGAUUCUUUUACACCCAUGAUCCAUGAUAAUCUUUUGCACGAAUCUGAGGUUCUCAGUAUUAUUAGUAACAAAAUAGUAAAGCGGUAGCCGUUUUAUGGUUUUUUUACGUAUUCUGACGAUAAAUCGGUGGUUUGUGUUUACGAAUGGUGGAUUUAUACGAUAGAACUCCUUUUAUUUAAAAUUUUAUUUAACCGUCGAAUGACGGACCGCGGAAAGAGCCCUAAUUUCAAUUUAAUUUACAUUUUCAUUUUCUAAACUUUACUACUAUUACUUUAAAAAUUAUUCUUCCAAUAUAUGAAACUUUUUCGUUUAUCCCAGACUCCGCUGUUCAAGGAUUAAUAGAAUGAUUAGGGUAAUACAACAUAAAAGAUAAUCUACCCAUGGUUAAUAUUAAAAUCGCAUUUGAUUACCGUUUUCGGAGAUAGUGUUUUAUACUUUUGUUCAAAUGAAAUUGCAUUACUUUUGUUUAAGUUGAAAAUGUGUUACAUUAUUCUUUUAAUUAAUGAAGAUGUUUGUUAAAGAUAAAUUAAUGCUGUUUAAUACAAAUAUUAGAUGUACAAAUUAAUUCAAAGUAAUUUAUUUUAAAGUAAUGAUAAUUCCAGUUAUUGAAGUAAUCGUUGUUGUUAUAUCUUCGCGCCAUUUUUCAAAUACACAGAAGCGCGGAAAAAUAUUCAAAUUUAAAAUAAUAAUUAAGAAGAUGUAAUACUACAAAUACCGAAUUAAUUUACACACCUAAUACAAUCUUAAGCCUUAAUCUCUGGCAUUUCCAGAGUGUUUUUCAAUUCUGUCCACCAGUUCUGGUAUUCAAGUAACAAAUAUCUAAAUUCUAAAGUACUGAUUCCAUAUAUGUAUCCAAUUGUUAUAAAAAUCGUAAGACAAGGAUUUAAUUGAGCUUAGAAGGCAUAAAGAUUCAAAGUCGUGUGCCCUUACUAGCAGUCAACGUGUUAAAUAAAUUAUUAUUAUUAUAACUUUUGUUAAUUACUGCUGAUGAAAAUUCUAGAACAAAACAGUAAAACCUUUAUAAUAAAACAAAAUUUUUUAUUGUUCGAAUACUCUAUUAGCCCUUCGUUGCAUGAAAUCCUUAUAUUUUUUUAAAUAUUUGUGAUUUUAAUUUUUGAAAAUUUUUAAUGUUAUACAUUUCUACAGCAGCGAAAGAACUGUAUUUUUUUUUAAAUUAGAAAAAGAAAUUAUGCAAUAAAGAGUUAAACUGAUAAAUGAAUUCGUGACCUUCCCAUAUGUUUUGCAUCAAAAUAAUUGUUGACUUUUUAGUAAAUCUUACAAAAAUUGUCCCAAGCUCAGUAUGUUAAAAUAAUUCUGUGGGAAAAAAUGUGAAAGUCAUGAAUUUAAUUGCCAAUCUAGUAAUUAUUCGAAACUUUAUACACGUUCAAAAAAAUAAAGUUCUAUUUUCAGUUUCUUCACUAUUUCAAUCUUCAAAUUCGAGAUCGAUGCUUUUUAUUAGGAAAGAAAAAUUGUGUCUAAAAAUUUUAUUAAAGCACCACGAAUUAUCGUCCGAAUACAUAUUAUCACCGGCAAAGUACAGUAUGCAAGUAAUAUUCGAUGAUAAUUUCACUUUGUUUUUCUUUCAUUUUGGCCACUUAGCUCUGCAGAAGCAAUAUCUCAAUUAUAAAAUUCGCGAUUAUCACAAUUACUUAUUUAUACUCCCUAAUCACAUAAAUCAUUAAAAAGAAAAAAAGAUAUGUAUACAUAAAUAAACUUAUAUCAUAUUUCGAAUCGCUGUAAAAAAAUUCCAUAUUAUUCAGUCAAUUUCGACGCGUGAAAAAAACAAAAGAAAAAAAAGAGAGAAAACGAAAUUAAGUGGGGAAAAAAGAAACUCGAAUAUUACUUUAUACUGUUUCUUUUUUCUUUUAAAUACCUAUGAAAGGGAAAACUUUGGUAACAUACUAAACGUUGGCAACAACAUUCUUUCUCUCCAUUGUUCAUUAGUUUUCUUUUCGUUAGUUUCAGCUGGGCAGCACAGCCUUUAUCAUACACGCAAAAUAACUAUUUCUUUUUUUCUGUGUUUCUUAAAUUCUUUUUAUACGGCACAAGCACUCUGCGAUAACUUUUGCUUUUCUUCUUCGUUACCAAUUAGUUAGCGAUACAAUUAAUAGUUAAUUAAUAGUUAUUAAUAUACGUAUGUACAGCACAGAAAAACUAUUUCACACUGAAUAACAAAUUGUACAGUGAUACAAGGCUAACACUGAGAUCGUUGGAUACUCGUUUUUUUCUUUUCUUUGCUAAGUAUUGUUUUGCCCUUUUGAACGCCACCAAUACGCCUGCGAUAA
RNA transcript from Osmia bicornis bicornis, 8464 nucleotides. It is a transcript of the gene named trafficking protein particle complex subunit 2-like protein, with no coding region annotated. The record is from RefSeq and is a predicted model, not a curated record. The transcript is spliced from 6 exons. Lineage: Eukaryota; Metazoa; Arthropoda; Insecta; Hymenoptera; Megachilidae.